GAUGAACGCUGGCGGCGUGCCUAAUACAUGCAAGUCGAGCGAACGGACGAGAAGCUUGCUUCUCUGAUGUUAGCGGCGGACGGGUGAGUAACACGUGGAUAACCUACCUAUAAGACUGGGAUAACUUCGGGAAACCGUAGCUAAUACCGGAUAAUAUUUUGAACCGCAUGGUUCAAAAGUGAAAGACGGUCUUGCUGUCACUUAUAGAUGGAUCCGCGCUGCAUUAGCUAGUUGGUAAGGUAACGGCUUACCAAGGCAACGAUGCAUAGCCGACCUGAGAGGGUGAUCCGCCACACUGGAACUGAGACACGGUCCAGACUCCUACGGGAGGCAGCAGUAGGGAAUCUUCCGCAAUGGGCGAAAGCCUGACGGAGCAACGCCGCGUGAGUGAUGAAGGUCUUCGGAUCGUAAAACUCUGUUAUUAGGGAAGAACAUAUGUGUAAGUAACUGUGCACACCUUGACGGUACCUAAUCAGAAAGCCACGGCUAACUACGUG
RNAcentral lists this ribosomal RNA (497 nucleotides) under uncultured bacterium. RNAcentral describes it as "partial 16S ribosomal RNA". It matches the Rfam family "Bacterial small subunit ribosomal RNA", at positions 28 to 507 of the family's 1533-position model. The record is from RNAcentral.